This 497-nucleotide ribosomal RNA is filed under the name uncultured bacterium. RNAcentral's name for it is "partial 16S ribosomal RNA". It matches the Rfam family "Bacterial small subunit ribosomal RNA", at positions 28 to 507 of the family's 1533-position model. The record is from RNAcentral.
GAUGAACGCUGGCGGCGUGCCUAAUACAUGCAAGUCGAGCGAACGGACGAGAAGCUUGCUUCUCUGAUGUUAGCGGCGGACGGGUGAGUAACACGUGGAUAACCUACCUAUAAGACUGGGAUAACUUCGGGAAACCGGAGCUAAUACCGGAUGAUAUUUUGAACCGCAUGGUUCAAAAGUGAAAGACGGUCUUGCUGUCACUUAUAGAUGGAUCCGCGCUGCAUUAGCUAGUUGGUAAGGUAACGGCUUACCAAGGCAACGAUGCAUAGCCGACCUGAGAGGGUGAUCGGCCACACUGGAACUGAGAUACGGUCCAGACUCCUACGGGAGGCAGCAGUAGGGAAUCUUCCGCAAUGGGCGAAAGCCUGACGGAGCAACGCCGCGUGAGUGAUGAAGGUCUUCGGAUCGUAAAACUCUGUUAUUAGGGAAGAACAUAUGUGUAAGUAACUGUGCACAUCUUGACGGUACCUAAUCAGAAAGCCACGGCUAACUACGUG